UUGUUGUUGUUUAUUUUUUGUAACGAUUUAAUGUGUUCAAUAUUUAAUGUUGUAUAUUAAUGGAAUGAUUUUAUUUGGUCCUAAACAAACCUCUACACUAUGAGAAAUCCAUCCUAUGAAAGUCAUAAUCAUAUAAUUGUUAUAUUUACUAAUGGAAUAAUAAUUAUAUUUUAUAUAAUAUAGUACAUAUUAGUUCAAGUAUGUCAUAUCAAACAUUUCCCAUCUGCUCCAGCCACAGAAGUUAGAAUUGUAGAAUUGGAAGGCUAAUUUAGAAUUGUAAUGAUAUAAAGAAUCAAUGUGAAAAGCCUUUAGAAGAAAACAACAGAUGAUGAUGUCCAUAUAGCUAGAUCAGGAAUACACUUUUGAAUGAGAUAAAACAUACAUAAUGCCUUCAUAAUGGAUUUCCCCUGGCUAAUAUAUUUAAUAUUUAUUGUAGCAUUUAUGUACAUUGUUUUUGCAGAUUUUUAAUAAUGUCUUCUCCCAUGAGUAACAAAUUGGAUUACCAGUUUGUUCAGUCUUUCACUUGUGAGGAUGCAUUGAUUAUGGCAUGAACUUAUGACCUUUUAAUGGACUGAACUGAGACCUCAACACACAGAGAUCUAGCAUUCCAACAUGCCAUUGCCAUGGCACAACACAUAUCUAGGACCUCCUGUUGUGACACAAGCAUUGCAAUUCAAUGGAUUGACAGAAAAAAAAAAAAAAAAAAAAUCUACUGUAAAAUGAUUUGCUAUUUAUGUUUACUUAUUAACUUCUGGCCGGGUGAAAAUAUAGUAUAAACAUUAUGUAUGUAUAUAUAUAUAUACUGUUAAAUCUAUUUGAUAUUAACACUUUCAGUGAUUGUAAAUGCCCCCAGCACUGUCAAUUACUUUUUCAGCAAAAUUUGCUAUUUUUAAGAACUACUUUGGUUAUAAUGAGGAACCUACAUGCAGUUUAGAAUGUAAGGUUUUAAUGUCCUAUACAAGAUUAUAGCAAUUUUAUAACCCUACUGUAGAACUGUAAUAACAGUAAAUUAUACAACCAACUGACUACUGUGCUAUAUUGUUCCAAAAUAUCUCAAUAUAUCUAAAAUAUCUCAGCAAAAUUAGCAAUAGAAAAUCCACUGAAGCUAAUAAUUAGAAUGACUAGACAUAUAUGUAAUUGAUUAAGUAAUUGGCCAGUUGCUCUCAUUGUAGUGUAAACAAAAGUAAUCUUUGCAAUAUGUAGUAAGAUUUCCUAGUGUACCUACGAAGUGUAUUAAAGUUUAAGAUUUCUUAAGAUAAAUAAAACAAUAGUGUCUGGUAUUAUUCUGAAAUGCUGGGUGGACCUUAGGUAAUUAAUCAUUAAUAAGCAAACUUUCUUAGUAUUUUUGAAACAUUAAAGUUGUGUUCUGUAUCUUAGUGGAAAUAUCAGAUUUGCAUAUUGGUUACUACUUCAGUUAAACCUCUACUGUGUUUUACUUAUGUUGAUUCUGUGAUCACUUGUGUUCAACACCAUCAAAGGGCUAUUUAAUACUGUGGACCAAAGCAUAAAACAUAUUUACUGUAUUGGAUUUACUUUUUUGUAUAUUGCUAUUGAUUAUGUAAAAGUAAACUCCAAAAAAUAUAUGAUGUUCACAGUAUGAUGACAACAAUAAUAAUAAAUAAAUAAAUAAUAUGGAUCAUUAGACAUAA
Molecule: long non-coding RNA, 1649 nt
Organism: Ictalurus furcatus (blue catfish)
Lineage: Eukaryota; Metazoa; Chordata; Actinopteri; Siluriformes; Ictaluridae
Exons: 3
Source: RefSeq, a predicted model, not a curated record